RNAcentral lists this non-coding RNA (29 nucleotides) under Mus musculus (house mouse). The record is from RNAcentral. Lineage: Eukaryota; Metazoa; Chordata; Mammalia; Rodentia; Muridae.
CAGCUAGUAUUAGUCUAUGUCAGGUGGUA